CACGCCGCGUGAGUGAUGAAGGUUUUCGGAUCGUAAAGCUCUGUUGUUAGGGAAGAACAAGUACCGUUCGAAUAGGGCGGCACCUUGACGGUACCUAACCAGAAAGCCACGGCUAACUACGUGCCAGCAGCCGCGGUAAUACGUAGGUGGCAAGCGUUGUCCGGAAUUAUUGGGCGUAAAGGGCUCGCAGGCGGUUUCUUAAGUCUGAUGUGAAAGCCCCCGGCUCAACCGGGGAGGGUCAUUGGAAACUGGGGAACUUGAGUGCAGAAGAGGAGAGUGGAAUUCCACGUGUAGCGGUGAAAUGCGUAGAGAUGUGGAGGAACACCAGUGGCGAAGGCGACUCUCUGGUCUGUAACUGACGCUGAGGAGCGAAAGCGUGGGGAGCGAACAGGAUUAGAUACCCUGGUAGUCCACGCCGUAAACGAUGAGUGCUAAGUGUUAGGGGGUUU
This 449-nucleotide ribosomal RNA is filed under the name uncultured Bacillus sp. RNAcentral describes it as "bacterial SSU rRNA". It matches the Rfam family "Bacterial small subunit ribosomal RNA", at positions 393 to 833 of the family's 1533-position model. The record is from RNAcentral. Lineage: Bacteria; Bacillati; Bacillota; Bacilli; Caryophanales; Bacillaceae.